GGCUUAGAGUUUGAUCCUGGCUCAGAAUCAACGCUGGCGGCGUGCCUAACACAUGCAAGUCGAGCGAGAAAAGGGGGGCAACUCCCUGAGUACAGCGGCGCACGGGUGAGUAACACGUGGGUAAUCUGCCCUGGAGUGGGGAAUAACACCGGGAAACCGGUGCUAAUACCGCAUACGAUCACGAUGUCUGCGGACGUUGUGAUGAAAGGAGCAAUUCGCUCUAGGAGGAGCCCGCGGCUGAUUAGCUAGUUGGUGAGGUAAUGGCUCACCAAGGCUACGAUCAGUAUCCGGUCUGAGAGGACGGUCGGACACACUGGAACUGAGACACGGUCCAGACUCCUACGGGAGGCAGCAGUGGGGAAUUUUUGGCAAUGGGGGCAACCCUGACCAAGCAACGCCGCGUGGGUGAUGAAGUCUCUUGGGACGUAAAACCCUUUCGACGGGGAAGAAGGCGCAAGGUUA
RNAcentral lists this ribosomal RNA (462 nucleotides) under uncultured bacterium. Its description in RNAcentral is "SSU rRNA". It matches the Rfam family "Bacterial small subunit ribosomal RNA", at positions 1 to 461 of the family's 1533-position model. The record is from RNAcentral.